RNAcentral lists this long non-coding RNA (288 nucleotides) under Brassica napus (rape). RNAcentral describes it as "long non-coding RNA (BNAP_LNC016057)". Lineage: Eukaryota; Viridiplantae; Streptophyta; Magnoliopsida; Brassicales; Brassicaceae. The record is from RNAcentral.
UUGAAACUCCUCAAAGUAUCUUAGACCAGCUCAGUCACUUCUUUACCUUAUCCUUUGAAGGUUUUACCAGAGCUGCAGACUUUGUCUUCGCUAAAGUAGAGAUGAGAUCUUUCUAUCUCCACUGCCACAACCCUGCUACAAUGGUGACUCGAAAAGAACUCAUCCAAGAGUCUACAGCCUGUGCAUGUACACUGAGAAGAAACAGUUUCAGGAACCACAGAAAGACCUCUUGAUGUUCACCUGAGGAUGAACAUACAUUAGCCGAACAGAAGAAACAGUUAGUAAUUG